RNAcentral lists this ribosomal RNA (219 nucleotides) under uncultured bacterium. RNAcentral's name for it is "partial 16S ribosomal RNA". It matches the Rfam family "Bacterial small subunit ribosomal RNA", at positions 117 to 334 of the family's 1533-position model. The record is from RNAcentral.
GUGGAUAAUCUUCCUCUAAGUGGGGAAUAACCAGUCGAAAGAUUGGCUAAUACCGCAUAAGACCACAAGCUCUUCGGAGUAAGGGGUUAAAGGCUUCGGCCGCUUGGAGAUGAGUCUGCGCCUGAUUAGCUAGUUGGUGAGGUAACGGCUCACCAAGGCGACGAUCAGUAGCUGGUCUGAGAGGACGGCCAGCCACACUGGGACUGAGACACGGCCCAG